UACAGAGGGUGCGAGCGUUAAUCGGAAUUACUGGGCGUAAAGCGCACGUAGGCGGAUUGUUAAGUCGGGGGUGAAAUCCUGGAGCUCAACUCCAGAACUGCCUUCGAAACUGGCGAUCUUGAGUCCGGGAGAGGUGAGUGGAACUGCGAGUGUAGAGGUGAAAUUCGUAGAUAUUCGCAAGAACACCAGUGGCGAAGGCGGCUCACUGGCCCGGUACUGACGCUGAGGUGCGAAAGCGUGGGGAGCAAACAGG
Molecule: ribosomal RNA, 253 nt
Filed under: uncultured bacterium
Lineage: Bacteria
Description: partial 16S ribosomal RNA
Rfam family: Bacterial small subunit ribosomal RNA
Source: RNAcentral